GGAAUCUUGGAGGGAAGAAAAGUGUUGAGGUGGAAAAGGCAGAUUUAGGGAAAAUCCGAGGGGAGAGGCCGGCUGGGAGUACGUUUGGCUCAGAGAGCCCGCGCGACGGCCCUGUGGAGAGGAGAGGAGAGGAGAGGAGGGAGCGCGCCCGCCAUCGCGGCCUCGCUGCGGCCGCGCUCUCUCCUCACCCGGUUUUCGGGGAAAAUAACGCUGCCGCGGGUCGGUUCGGUGGCACUGAGGUGGUUUCCCCCUCUCUCUGUUUUUCCUCGUAGGCUGCAGGGAGGGUUUGUAACGCGAGCGAGGCAGCGCGCAGGGUUCGUGUUUUUAAAUGAAGAGGCAAGUGUUUCUCGUACUCGUGGGCUGGGAGGAGGAAGGAGGGUUUUUUAUAGCACUGCCUACUACACGGGGGUUUUCUCUCAUCCCAUGCCUUAUUUAGUUUCCUCGGUGCUUACUACGCGUACUAUACUUACACCCGUAAUAUGCAAAGUGCUUUUCGAGCAGAGUUGGUAUCCAAAGGCAAGUAGAGUCUAAAAAGGGAAAGACUUGAAACACAUGGGAAAAGAAUAAAGCGCACAAGUAAAGGCCUCAUAAUAUCGUGGGUUUUAUGUUUCAGAAAAAGGUCCGAAGACUGGAGGAGAAGCUUUAGGCAGACCUUGUGGGCUGUACACAGUGCUUAUACCCUGCCGGUCAGCAGAAUGUAUUUAUCUGCAGAUGAACACACAAACUUCUUUUUCUACAUCUUAUUUCUCCUCGCCUCCCCUUCUACCUAGAUUUUCCUCCCCAGAUUUAGACUUUCAAGACUGAGGUCUGGAAGAGUACCAAACUGAUUCAGAAGCACAAAACCGGUUGUAAACGAUGAGGAGGAUUCUAGCCUGCUUGAUGCACUUUAGCUUUUUGGACUUUUGAAGGUUCUGUUUAUAUAGUAAGGAAGUUUGUAGGCUCUGAUCUAUCUUUUGUUAUCAUGGUUAGCCAUUUUAAGAUGAAAAGUUCUUAACAGAAAAAUAUUUCAAAGUUUGAAAUUGCAGUAGUUCAGAAACUAAAGAAAUAACUAUUAAAUAUCCCAUUGGCACACCAGGAGCACAGAAUGGGAACAAUAUGAAAAAGCAAGCAAUUUGGAUACUAUUCAAUUACAGUUGGCUUUAAAUAAAUAAUUAAAAAUAUU
Aquila chrysaetos chrysaetos is the source of this 1162-nucleotide long non-coding RNA. RefSeq lists it as uncharacterized. NCBI's taxonomy places the organism in Eukaryota, Metazoa, Chordata, Aves, Accipitriformes, Accipitridae. The transcript is spliced from 2 exons. The record is from RefSeq and is a predicted model, not a curated record.